RNAcentral lists this ribosomal RNA (688 nucleotides) under Staphylococcus aureus. Its description in RNAcentral is "partial 23S ribosomal RNA". It matches the Rfam family "Bacterial large subunit ribosomal RNA", at positions 1519 to 2204 of the family's 2925-position model. The record is from RNAcentral. Lineage: Bacteria; Bacillati; Bacillota; Bacilli; Caryophanales; Staphylococcaceae.
GUAAGGCUGAGUAUUAGGCAAAUCCGGUACUCGUUAAGGCUGAGCUGUGAUGGGGAGAAGACAUUGAGUCUUCGAGUCGUUGAUUUCACACUGCCGAGAAAAGCCUCUAGAUAGAAAAUAGGUGCCCGUACCGCAAACCGACACAGGUAGUCAAGAUGAGAAUUCUAAGGUGAGCGAGCGAACUCUCGUUAAGGAACUCGGCAAAAUGACCCCGUAACUUCGGGAGAAGGGGUGCUCUUUAGGGUUAACGCCCAGAAGAGCCGCAGUGAAUAGGCCCAAGCGACUGUUUAUCAAAAACACAGGUCUCUGCUAAACCGUAAGGUGAUGUAUAGGGGCUGACGCCUGCCCGGUGCUGGAAGGUUAAGAGGAGUGGUUAGCUUCUGCGAAGCUACGAAUCGAAGCCCCAGUAAACGGCGGCCGUAACUAUAACGGUCCUAAGGUAGCGAAAUUCCUUGUCGGGUAAGUUCCGACCCGCACGAAAGGCGUAACGAUUUGGGCACUGUCUCAACGAGAGACUCGGUGAAAUCAUAGUACCUGUGAAGAUGCAGGUUACCCGCGACAGGACGGAAAGACCCCGUGGAGCUUUACUGUAGCCUGAUAUUGAAAUUCGGCACAGCUUGUACAGGAUAGGUAGGAGCCUUUGAAACGUGAGCGCUAGCUUACGUGGAGGCGCUGGUGGGAUACUACC